Molecule: ribosomal RNA, 253 nt
Filed under: uncultured bacterium
Lineage: Bacteria
Description: partial 16S ribosomal RNA
Rfam family: Bacterial small subunit ribosomal RNA
Source: RNAcentral
UACGUAGGGACCAAGCGUUGUUCGGAUUUACUGGGCGUAAAGGGCGCGUAGGCGGCGUGACAAGUCACUUGUGAAAUCUCUGAGCUUAACUCAGAACGGCCAAGUGAAACUGUUGUGCUAGAGUGCGGAAGGGGCAAUCGGAAUUCUUGGUGUAGCGGUGAAAUGCGUAGAUAUCAAGAGGAACACCUGAGGUGAAGACGGGUUGCUGGGCCGAUACUGACGCUGAGGAGCGAAAGCCAGGGGAGCAAACGGG